This 411-nucleotide ribosomal RNA is filed under the name Bacillus thuringiensis. RNAcentral's name for it is "bacterial SSU rRNA". It matches the Rfam family "Bacterial small subunit ribosomal RNA", at positions 1 to 399 of the family's 1533-position model. Lineage: Bacteria; Bacillati; Bacillota; Bacilli; Caryophanales; Bacillaceae. The record is from RNAcentral.
UUUAUUGGAGAGUUUGAUCCUGGCUCAGGAUGAACGCUGGCGGCGUGCCUAAUACAUGCAAGUCGAGCGAAUAGAUUGAGAGCUUGCUCUCAAGAAGUUAGCGGCGGACGGGUGAGUAACACGUGGGUAACCUGCCCAUAAGACUGGGAUAACUCCGGGAAACCGGGGCUAAUACCGGAUAACAUUUUGAACUGCAUGGUUCGAAAUUGAAAGGCGGCUUCGGCUGUCACUUAUGGAUGGACCCGCGUCGCAUUAGCUAGUUGGUGAGGUAACGGCUCACCAAGGCAACGAUGCGUAGCCGACCUGAGAGGGUGAUCGGCCACACUGGGACUGAGACACGGCCCAGACUCCUACGGGAGGCAGCAGUAGGGAAUCUUCCGCAAUGGACGAAAGUCUGACGGAGCAACGCCG